This 828-nucleotide ribosomal RNA is filed under the name marine metagenome. RNAcentral's name for it is "bacterial SSU rRNA". It matches the Rfam family "Bacterial small subunit ribosomal RNA", at positions 8 to 885 of the family's 1533-position model. The record is from RNAcentral.
AGAGUUUGAUCAUGGCUCAGAACGUACGCUGGCGGCACGCCUAACACAUGCAAGUCGAACGAAGUAGCAAUACUUAGUGGCAGACGGGUGAGUAACAUGUAGGUAUCUACCCUAUGGCCUGGAAUAACACGAGGAAACUUGUGCUAAUACCGGAUAAGUCUUUACGGAGAAAGCUUUAUGCACCAUUGGAUGAGCCUGCACUUGAUUAGUUUGUUGGUGGGGUAAUGGCCUACCAAGACUGUGAUCAAUAGCUGAUUUGAGAGGAUGAUCAGCCACAUUGGGACUGAGACACGGCCCAAACUCCUACGGGAGGCAGCAGUGGGGAAUCUUGCACAAUGGAGGAAACUCUGAUGCAGCGAUGCCGCGUGAGUGAAGAAGGCCUUUGGGUUGUAAAGCUCUUUCGUCGGGGAAGAAAAUGACUGUACCCGAAUAAGAAGGUCCGGCUAACUUCGUGCCAGCAGCCGCGGUAAUACGAAGGGACCUAGCGUAGUUCGGAAUUACUGGGCUUAAAGAGUUCGUAGGUGGUUGAAAAAGUUGGUGGUGAAAUCCCAGAGCUUAACUCUGGAACUGCCAUCAAAACUUUUCAGCUAGAGUAUGAUAGAGGAAAGCAGAAUUUCUAGUGUAGAGGUGAAAUUCGUAGAUAUUAGAAAGAAUACCAAUUGCGAAGCAGCUUUCUGGAUCAUUACUGACACUGAGGAACGAAAGCAUGGGUAGCGAAGAGGAUUAGAUACCCUCGUAGUCCAUGCCGUAAACGAUGUGUGUUAGACGUUGGAAAUUUAUUUUCAGUGUCGCAGCGAAAGCGAUAAACACACCGCCUGGGGAGUACGA